This 492-nucleotide ribosomal RNA is filed under the name uncultured bacterium. RNAcentral's name for it is "partial 16S ribosomal RNA". It matches the Rfam family "Bacterial small subunit ribosomal RNA", at positions 29 to 507 of the family's 1533-position model. The record is from RNAcentral.
AGUGAACGCUGGCGGGAUGCUUAACACAUGCAAGUCGAACGGCAGCGCGGAAUGCGGUCUCGCGUCGGGUGGCGGACGGGCGGGUGGUGUAUGAAAACGUCCCCAUCAACGGUGUAGAAGUGCGCAACGGCGGAGCACAUACCGCAUACGCGCUAACGGGGUACGGGGGAAAGCGUAAGAUCUUCCGCCCUUGCGCGGGCGAAUGUGCCGAUGUCGGAUUAGCUAGUUGGCGGGGUAACGGCCCACCAAGGCGACGAUCCGUAGCUGGUCUGAGAGGACGAUCAGCCACACUGGAACUGAGACACGGCCCAGACUCCUACGGGAGGCAGCAGUGGGGAAUUUUGGACAAUGGGCGCAAGCCUGAUCCAGCCAUCCCGCGUGUGCGAAGAAGGCCUUCGGGUUGUAAAGCACUUUUGGCAGGAAAGAAACGCCGCAGGCUAAUACCCCGUGGAACUGACGGUACCCAAAGAAUAAGCACCGGCUAACUACGUG